GCCUGGGUGGCUCAGUCGGUUAAGCACCGGACUUCGGCUCGGGUCAUGAUCUUGUGGUUCGUGGGUUCAAGCCCCGCAUCGGGCU
Molecule: transfer RNA, 85 nt
Filed under: Felis catus (domestic cat)
Lineage: Eukaryota; Metazoa; Chordata; Mammalia; Carnivora; Felidae
Rfam family: tRNA
About the family: Transfer RNA (tRNA) molecules are approximately 80 nucleotides in length.
Source: Rfam by way of RNAcentral